Molecule: ribosomal RNA, 421 nt
Filed under: uncultured bacterium
Lineage: Bacteria
Description: partial 16S ribosomal RNA
Rfam family: Bacterial small subunit ribosomal RNA
Source: RNAcentral
AAUAUUGGACAAUGGGGGCAACCCUGAUCCAGCCAUGCCGCGUGUGUGAAGAAGGUCUUCGGAUUGUAAAGCACUCUAAGUUGGGAGGAAGGGCUUUAGGCUAAUACCUUGAAGUCUUGACGUUACCAACAGAAUAAGCACCGGCUAACUCUGUGCCAGCAGCCGCGGUAAUACAGAGGGUGCAAGCGUUAAUCGGAAUUACUGGGCGUAAAACGGUGGUAGGUGGUUCAGUAAGAUGGGUGUGAAAUCCCCGGGGUUAACCUGGGAGCUGCUUUCAUAACUGCUGAGCUAGAGUACGGUAGAGGGUAGUGGAAUUUCCUGUGUAGCGGUGAAAUGCGUAGAUAUAGGAAGGAACACCAGUGGCGAAGGCGGCUACCUGGACUGAUACUGACACUGAGGUGCGAAAGCGUGGGGAGCAAAC